CCUACGUGGGGCAGCAGUGGGGAAUAUUGCACAAUGGGGGAAACCCUGAUGCAGCGACGCCGCGUGAGUGACGAAGUAUUUCGGUAUGUAACGCUCUAUCAGCAGGGAAGAAAAUGACGGUACCUGAUUAAGAAGCCCCGGCUAACUCCGUGCCAGCAGCCGCGGUAAUACGGAGGAUGCGAGCGUUAUCCGGAUUUAUUGGGUUUAAAGGGUGCGCAGGCGGUCUGUGAAGUCAGCGGUCACAGCCCGGGGCUCAACCCCGGCCCGCCGUUGAAACUGGCAGUCUCGAGUUGGAGAGAAGUAUGCGGAAUGCGCGGUGUAGCGGGGAAAUGCAUAGAUAUCGCGCAGAACUCCGAUUGCGAAGGCAGCAUGCCGGCUCCACACUGACGCUGAGGCACGAAAGCGUGGGUAUCGAACAGGAUUAGAUACCCGAGUAGUC
RNAcentral lists this ribosomal RNA (439 nucleotides) under uncultured bacterium. RNAcentral's name for it is "partial 16S ribosomal RNA". It matches the Rfam family "Bacterial small subunit ribosomal RNA", at positions 338 to 795 of the family's 1533-position model. The record is from RNAcentral.